GUGGGGAAUAUUGGGCAAUGGGGGCAACCCUGACCCAGCGACGCCGCGUGAGGGAAGAAGGCCUUAGGGUCGUAAACCUCUGUUGUGUGGGAAGAAGGAAGUGACGGUACCACACGAGGAAGUCCCGGCUAACUACGUGCCAGCAGCCGCGGUAAUACGUAGGGGACGAGCGUUGUCCGGAAUUACUGGGCGUAAAGGGCGCGUAGGCGGUCAUUUAAGUCAGCUGUGAAAUGGUCCGGCUCAACCGGAUCAUGCGGUGGAAACUGGAUGACUGGAGUGCUGGAGAGGCAAGUGGAAUUCCCAGUGUAGCGGUGAAAUGCGUAGAUAUUGGGAAGAACACCGGUGGCGAAGGCGACUUGCUGGCCAGCAACUGACGCUGAGGCGCGAAAGCCAGGGGAGCAAACGGGAUUAGAUACCCUUGUAGUCC
This 427-nucleotide ribosomal RNA is filed under the name uncultured bacterium. RNAcentral describes it as "partial 16S ribosomal RNA". It matches the Rfam family "Bacterial small subunit ribosomal RNA", at positions 354 to 796 of the family's 1533-position model. The record is from RNAcentral.